AUAUCGAUUAACGUUACCCAGGGCCAAAGUGGCCAGCGGGCGGACUAUCUAACGUUAACCUUACAUCCUAACAGUUUUCAUCCAGAGCUAGCUAAAGACGGCGACUAGUAAGCUGAGCACCGAUACAAAUAAACGAAAUAUAACGUUAACCAACUUAAGGUGGUGUUCCCCUUUGAGGCUGAUUCCCUGCCAAGCAGCCCUUCCUGACUGCUACUGCUGCUGAACCUGAGUGACAGAUGAGUCAAAAGUUUGAAAGAAAAACUUCAGAGGAAGCUGCAAAGAUCACUGAUAUGACAUCUGAAGAGAAACCUGAGAUGUGCCUCAUAAAGACUCGUGAAUUGUUGUCAAAGGCUCAGUUGCUGCUGUCUGACAUAGAGCACCUGCUGGACCAGUGCACAAAAGGCCCCACCAAUCGGAGACAGUGCAGAAUGAUUCAGCAGUGUCAGGUCAGCAUAGAAGAGGAUGGAGAAACCUUGGAUAUAGAGGGCUUCAGGUUCACGAGUGCAGUCAGCAGGGAGGACCUGAGAUCACUCACUGUUGGAGGAAGAGGAUGCCAGGGCAACACUUAACUGAUGGCUACCGUAGUGAUUUCAUCACACAAAGUCAACAAGGUCAAACGACUGAUAGAGGUAACGAUGGCAGACGGAGAGCCGACAUAUGACAUGAGUUAAAAUGAUGGGAGAAAGGCUAACAGUUGACAUGUGUUGCUCUUUACAGCAGAGAGACAAAGCAGUAUGACACCAUGGUGUAUAAAGGAUACAGACCAUUUUUACAGUAGAUAAAUGUUCCAAUUGUUCCUAAUGUUUUAUGAAUUAUUAGUUCAUUGUUGCUUAUCUUCAGAUUUUUGAUUCUUGUGAACAUAGUUUGACAGUUUUGAAUUGCCAUUUUUGGCACGUUUGAGUCAUUUCUGAAUAUGUCCAUGCAGUUGACUCAAAGGGUUGUUUAUGUUAGUGCCACAGUAUAUAGGAUGGAUAUUAUAUAGUUAGAAUGCUGUUGUUUAGGCUAAUGGUUAUGCCUUGCAUUAUUUAUUUCACUCCUGUUAGUCUUGUCCAACCCAGCAUAGUACAUUUUGCCGUUUCAGCAGCACGAAGCAAAUGGAACAGUAGCUCACUGGCAUUCUGCACAUUUAUGCCUUUAUUUCAUUUAGCGUUGUUGCCUUUAAGUGUACUGUGGGUCACGCACACCUUGAAUAUCCUGUAUACAACAGCACACCGUGUAGGUUAGAUGGGGACAUGGCUUUCUCUUUGAUUAUACAGAGCUGUUGGACUAUUCAGUGUCCUUUCUGUUUGUUCCCUAUUGUAGAUCAUCUUGCUCCCUAAAAGCACCUCCAGUGCUCCUAUUAUAGUAAAGUUUCACAGCCCUCCAUGCUUUUUAGUGCAGUUGGCUCGAAGAAAAACAGUAUAAUAAAUACAAAUGACAGUGCUAUAUUUCGGUACCUGAAGGUCUAUAAGAAGUCUUAUAAUUGAAUAACCUGAAGUCAAGACCUUUAAAGCUCAUAAAUAAAGUUCAGUGCAUUGGAGGAUGAUUAUGACAGUGCAGUGUGUCUUAAAUGUGUCACUCUUCCUCACUCCACUUUGCAGGAGUUUUUCCAAACAGUUCAGAUACAUUAUUCGUUGUGUCUUUACUUCUCUGCUGAUUUUGGUGAAGAAACAUUUAAAAACAUUUUGUAUUAAUUUAAAAUUGAAUUCUAGACAUGUAAAACCACUUGCAUGACAUCAUUAACAUCAGUUGUCAGUAUCUGAUGAUACAUUUUGUUUUCUAAAUAUUGUUAUACUGUAGCAUCAGCUCCAAAGAGGAAUAAAA
This is a long non-coding RNA of Epinephelus fuscoguttatus (brown-marbled grouper), 1803 nucleotides long. RefSeq lists it as uncharacterized. The transcript is spliced from 5 exons. The record is from RefSeq and is a predicted model, not a curated record. Lineage: Eukaryota; Metazoa; Chordata; Actinopteri; Perciformes; Serranidae.